GGAGACCCGUGGGAGGUCUGAGCUGGAGCUGAGGCCGGUGCGUGCGGGCAGCCCCGUUCCUGGGACUCGCACGGCCCGCACCUUCGGAACGGGACACGCGUCCGGAAACGUACCGGUACGUCCUUCUCUCCCUAUGAAACACGUGGAAGACAGCCCUCAGAAAUUAAGACAUCGAAUGGUAACCAGAUAAAAUAGCAGCCCAGGCGAGCAUCCUGACCAGGGCAUAAAUAACAAAGUUAAAUUACAGACGCAGAAAUGAUGUUUGUUCACACAUACCAAAGAAAAUCAAACGACUGCUUCUGAACAGACAGAAUACUUCGGGCUUGUUCUUAGAUGCGUGCAGUAAGUGUAACCAACAGCAAUAGCAAAUGUAUUUGUUUGUACCAUAUUCCAUUUAAAGCUGCCAAAGACUGAGAAGUGUGGUACACAAAUACCGGUUUCUCCAGGAAUUAGCUGAAUACGCUUUAAGUGAGAGCGAGCUCAUUUUCUGUUCAGACAGCAAGCAUUAGGCUGCUGAGUAAGGAGCAUCAGCUGUGCCAGUUCCAUGCGGACUGAAGAGAUGGAGGUUGGACGCAGUGAGUUGUUCAGCAGGAGUACCUAAAUUUAGUCAGGGAGAGGAGGAAUCCUCACAGCAAGAUAAUGGAAACUUAAUCUUUACUACUGCUUCAUAGUACUUUUUCUUUCAUGCUUAGACACAUUAUAUGUCCCUAUUUCAAAUUUACCUGAAGGCUUUUUGGACAUGCAGUUGCUGCUGCUAUGAAGUGAACAUUCUGGAAUUUUCCUAUCUGCCUGUACAUUCUGCACUGUAACCGUAGAGAUCACAGUUCUGCAAAACCCAGUUAUAAUAAAACCUGUUUGAUAAGUCUGGGCUAACAGGGGAACUAAUUACCUAAGCACUACAGAAAUGGGCCCGAUUCCACAAAUUCAUCAAUUUACUGUGUUAUAAAAAUCAGGUCUUAGUGUUUUCUUAGGCUAGGCUGGCAUGUUCUCAGUAUUUCAAGAAGACACAGUACUAGAUACACAUUUUCUUUAUAUAUUUAAUAAAGUUAUAUAUCAACAACUUUUGGAUUUGUACUUUUGUUUGAGCAUUUAUCAUUUUGGCAAAAGUGAAAUAUUAAAUACUAGAACUAGACAUGCAUUCCUUUCAUUCAAGCUUAAGAAAACAUUUACAAAGUUGACAGAUAACAUUUAUUAAAACAUGUUAUACAAAAAAG
This is a long non-coding RNA of Falco peregrinus (peregrine falcon), 1214 nucleotides long. RefSeq lists it as uncharacterized. The transcript is spliced from 2 exons. The record is from RefSeq and is a predicted model, not a curated record. Lineage: Eukaryota; Metazoa; Chordata; Aves; Falconiformes; Falconidae.